CCUACGGGUGGCUGCCGUGGGGAAUAUUGGACAAUGGGGGGAACCCUGAUCCAGCCAUGCCGCGUGUGUGAAGAAGGCCCUCGGGUUGUAAAGCACUUUCAGUGAGGAAGAACGCCUGGUGGUUAAUACCCAUCAGGAAAGACAUCACUCACAGAAGAAGCACCGGCUAACUCCGUGCCAGCAGCCGCGGUAAUACGGAGGGUGCGAGCGUUAAUCGGAAUUACUGGGCGUAAAGCGCGCGUAGGUGGCUUGAUAAGCCGGUUGUGAAAGCCCCGGGCUCAACCUGGGAACGGCAUCCGGAACUGUCAAGCUAGAGUGCAGGAGAGGAAGGUAGAAUUCCCGGUGUAGCGGUGAAAUGCGUAGAGAUCGGGAGGAAUACCAGUGGCGAAGGCGGCCUUCUGGACUGACACUGACACUGAGGUGCGAAAGCGUGGGUAGCAAACAGGAUUAGAUACCCGUGUAGUC
RNAcentral lists this ribosomal RNA (465 nucleotides) under Vreelandella stevensii. RNAcentral's name for it is "partial 16S ribosomal RNA". It matches the Rfam family "Bacterial small subunit ribosomal RNA", at positions 338 to 795 of the family's 1533-position model. The record is from RNAcentral. Lineage: Bacteria; Pseudomonadati; Pseudomonadota; Gammaproteobacteria; Oceanospirillales; Halomonadaceae.